GGGUUGUGAGGUUAAGCGACUAAGCGUACACGGUGGAUGCCCUGGCAGUCAGAGGCGAUGAAGGACGUGCUAAUCUGCGAUAAGCGUCGGUAAGGUGAUAUGAACCGUUAUAACCGGCGAUUUCCGAAUGGGGAAACCCAGUGUGUUUCGACACACUAUCAUUAACUGAAUCCAUAGGUUAAUGAGGCGAACCGGGGGAACUGAAACAUCUAAGUACCCCGAGGAAAAGAAAUCAACCGAGAUUCCCCCAGUAGCGGCGAGCGAACGGGGAGCAGCCCAGAGCCUGAAUCAGUGUGUGUGUUAGUGGAAGCGUCUGGAAAGGCGCGCGAUACAGGGUGACAGCCCCGUACACAAAAAUGCACAUGCUGUGAGCUCGAUGAGUAGGGCGGGACACGUGGUAUCCUGUCUGAAUAUGGGGGGACCAUCCUCCAAGGCUAAAUACUCCUGACUGACCGAUAGUGAACCAGUACCGUGAGGGAAAGGCGAAAAGAACCCCGGCGAGGGGAGUGAAAAAGAACCUGAAACCGUGUACGUACAAGCAGUGGGAGCACGCUUCGGCGUGUGACUGCGUACCUUUUGUAUAAUGGGUCAGCGACUUAUAUUCUGUAGCAAGGUUAACCGAAUAGGGGAGCCGAAGGGAAACCGAGUCUUAACUGGGCGUUAAGUUGCAGGGUAUAGACCCGAAACCCGGUGAUCUAGCCAUGGGCAGGUUGAAGGUUGGGUAACACUAACUGGAGGACCGAACCGACUAAUGUUGAAAAAUUAGCGGAUGACUUGUGGCUGGGGGUGAAAGGCCAAUCAAACCGGGAGAUAGCUGGUUCUCCCCGAAAGCUAUUUAGGUAGCGCCUCGUGAAUUCAUCUCCGGGGGUAGAGCACUGUUUCGGCAAGGGGGUCAUCCCGACUUACCAACCCGAUGCAAACUGCGAAUACCGGAGAAUGUUAUCACGGGAGACACACGGCGGGUGCUAACGUCCGUCGUGAAGAGGGAAACAACCCAGACCGCCAGCUAAGGUCCCAAAGUCAUGGUUAAGUGGGAAACGAUGUGGGAAGGCCCAGACAGCCAGGAUGUUGGCUUAGAAGCAGCCAUCAUUUAAAGAAAGCGUAAUAGCUCACUGGUCGAGUCGGCCUGCGCGGAAGAUGUAACGGGGCUAAACCAUGCACCGAAGCUGCGGCAGCGACGCUGAUGCGUUGUUGGGUAGGGGAGCGUUCUGUAAGCCUGCGAAGGUGUGCUGUGAGGCAUGCUGGAGGUAUCAGAAGUGCGAAUGCUGACAUAAGUAACGAUAAAGCGGGUGAAAAGCCCGCUCGCCGGAAGACCAAGGGUUCCUGUCCAACGUUAAUCGGGGCAGGGUGAGUCGACCCCUAAGGCGAGGCCGAAAGGCGUAGUCGAUGGGAAACAGGUUAAUAUUCCUGUACUUGGUGUUACUGCGAAGGGGGGACGGAGAAGGCUAUGUUGGCCGGGCGACGGUUGUCCCGGUUUAAGCGUGUAGGCUGGUUUUCCAGGCAAAUCCGGAAAAUCAAGGCUGAGGCGUGAUGACGAGGCACUACGGUGCUGAAGCAACAAAUGCCCUGCUUCCAGGAAAAGCCUCUAAGCAUCAGGUAACAUCAAAUCGUACCCCAAACCGACACAGGUGGUCAGGUAGAGAAUACCAAGGCGCUUGAGAGAACUCGGGUGAAGGAACUAGGCAAAAUGGUGCCGUAACUUCGGGAGAAGGCACGCUGAUAUGUAGGUGAAGUCCCUCGCGGAUGGAGCUGAAAUCAGUCGAAGAUACCAGCUGGCUGCAACUGUUUAUUAAAAACACAGCACUGUGCAAACACGAAAGUGGACGUAUACGGUGUGACGCCUGCCCGGUGCCGGAAGGUUAAUUGAUGGGGUUAGCCGCAAGGCGAAGCUCUUGAUCGAAGCCCCGGUAAACGGCGGCCGUAACUAUAACGGUCCUAAGGUAGCGAAAUUCCUUGUCGGGUAAGUUCCGACCUGCACGAAUGGCGUAAUGAUGGCCAGGCUGUCUCCACCCGAGACUCAGUGAAAUUGAACUCGCUGUGAAGAUGCAGUGUACCCGCGGCAAGACGGAAAGACCCCGUGAACCUUUACUAUAGCUUGACACUGAACAUUGAGCCUUGAUGUGUAGGAUAGGUGGGAGGCUUAGAAGUGUGGACGCCAGUCUGCAUGGAGCCGACCUUGAAAUACCACCCUUUAAUGUUUGAUGUUCUAACGUUGACCCGUAAUCCGGGUUGCGGACAGUGUCUGGUGGGUAGUUUGACUGGGGCGGUCUCCUCCUAAAGAGUAACGGAGGAGCACGAAGGUUGGCUAAUCCUGGUCGGACAUCAGGAGGUUAGUGCAAUGGCAUAAGCCAGCUUGACUGCGAGCGUGACGGCGCGAGCAGGUGCGAAAGCAGGUCAUAGUGAUCCGGUGGUUCUGAAUGGAAGGGCCAUCGCUCAACGGAUAAAAGGUACUCCGGGGAUAACAGGCUGAUACCGCCCAAGAGUUCAUAUCGACGGCGGUGUUUGGCACCUCGAUGUCGGCUCAUCACAUCCUGGGGCUGAAGUAGGUCCCAAGGGUAUGGCUGUUCGCCAUUUAAAGUGGUACGCGAGCUGGGUUUAGAACGUCGUGAGACAGUUCGGUCCCUAUCUGCCGUGGGCGCUGGAGAACUGAGGGGGGCUGCUCCUAGUACGAGAGGACCGGAGUGGACGCAUCACUGGUGUUCGGGUUGUCAUGCCAAUGGCACUGCCCGGUAGCUAAAUGCGGAAGAGAUAAGUGCUGAAAGCAUCUAAGCACGAAACUUGCCCCGAGAUGAGUUCUCCCUGACUCCUUGAGAGUCCUGAAGGAACGUUGAAGACGACGACGUUGAUAGGCCGGGUGUGUAAGCGCAGCGAUGCGUUGAGCUAACCGGUACUAAUGAACCGUGAGGCUUAACCUUACAACGCCGAAG
Molecule: ribosomal RNA, 2927 nt
Filed under: Escherichia coli
Lineage: Bacteria; Pseudomonadati; Pseudomonadota; Gammaproteobacteria; Enterobacterales; Enterobacteriaceae
Description: bacterial LSU rRNA
Rfam family: Bacterial large subunit ribosomal RNA
Source: RNAcentral